UAGGGAAUCUUCGGCAAUGGACGAAAGUCUGACCGAGCAACGCCGCGUGAGUGAAGAAGGUUUUCGGAUCGUAAAACUCUGUUGUUAGAGAAGAACAAGGACGUUAGUAACUGAACGUCCCCUGACGGUAUCUAACCAGAAAGCCACGGCUAACUACGUGCCAGCAGCCGCGGUAAUACGUAGGUGGCAAGCGUUGUCCGGAGUUAUUGGGCGUAAAGCGUGCGCAGGCGGUUUCUUAAGUCUGAUGUGAAAGCCCCCGGCUCAACCGGGGAGGGUCAUUGGAAACUGGGAGACUUGAGUGCAGGAGAGGAGAGUGGAAUUACAUGUGUAGCGUUGAAAUGCGUAGAUAUGUGGAGGAACACCAGUGGCGAAGGCGGCUCUCUGGUCUGUAACUGACGCUGAGGCUCGAAAGCGUGGGGAGCAAACAGG
This 429-nucleotide ribosomal RNA is filed under the name Gemmatimonadota bacterium. RNAcentral describes it as "Gemmatimonadetes bacterium partial 16S ribosomal RNA". It matches the Rfam family "Bacterial small subunit ribosomal RNA", at positions 355 to 776 of the family's 1533-position model. Lineage: Bacteria; Pseudomonadati; Gemmatimonadota. The record is from RNAcentral.